GUGGAUUAGAUACCCUGGUAGUCCACGCCGUAAACGAUGAGCACUAGGUGUCGGGGUCGCAAGACUUCGGUGCCGCAGUUAACGCAAUAAGUGCUCCGCCUGGGGAGUACGUACGCAAGUAUGAAACUCAAAGGAAUUGACGGGGACCCGCACAAGCAGCGGAGCAUGUGGUUUAAUUCGAAGCAACGCGAAGAACCUUACCAAGGCUUGACAUCCCUCUGACAGAUCUUUAAUCGGAUCCUUCUUCGGACAGAGGUGACAGGUGGUGCACGGCUGUCGUCAACU
RNAcentral lists this ribosomal RNA (285 nucleotides) under uncultured bacterium. RNAcentral describes it as "partial 16S ribosomal RNA". It matches the Rfam family "Bacterial small subunit ribosomal RNA", at positions 773 to 1060 of the family's 1533-position model. The record is from RNAcentral.